UACGGAGGAUCCGAGCGUUAUCCGGAUUUAUUGGGUUUAAAGGGUGCGUAGGUGGAUUGAUAAGUCAGUGGUGAAAGUUUGCAGCUUAACUGCAAAAUUGCCGUUGAAACUGUUGGUCUUGAGUGCAAAUGAGGUAGGCGGAAUGUGUCGUGUAGCGGUGAAAUGCAUAGAUAUUACACAGAACACCGAUUGCGAAGGCAGCUUACUAAUCCAUCAUUGACGCUGAGGCACGAAAGCGUGGGGAUCAAACAGGAUUAGA
RNAcentral lists this ribosomal RNA (259 nucleotides) under uncultured prokaryote. RNAcentral's name for it is "partial 16S ribosomal RNA". It matches the Rfam family "Bacterial small subunit ribosomal RNA", at positions 524 to 782 of the family's 1533-position model. The record is from RNAcentral.